CAGUAGCCGCGGUAAUACAGAGGGUGCGAGCGUUAAUCGGAUUUACUGGGCGUAAAGCGUGCGUAGGCGGCUUCUUAAGUCGGAUGUGAAAUCCCUGAGCUUAACUUAGGAAUUGCAUUCGAUACUGGGAAGCUAGAGUAUGGGAGAGGAUGGUAGAAUUCCAGGUGUAGCGGUGAAAUGCGUAGAGAUCUGGAGGAAUACCGAUGGCGAAGGCAGCCAUCUGGCCUAAUACUGACGCUGAGGUACGAAAGCAUGGGGAGCAAACAGGAUUAGAUACCCCCGUAGUCCCUGUCUCUUAUAA
RNAcentral lists this ribosomal RNA (301 nucleotides) under uncultured bacterium. RNAcentral describes it as "partial 16S ribosomal RNA". It matches the Rfam family "Bacterial small subunit ribosomal RNA", at positions 509 to 809 of the family's 1533-position model. The record is from RNAcentral.